UGGCUCGCAAUUCUGCCGAUUUUGAGAGCAUUCCAAAAGUUGGGCGCGGUCGAUUCGAGGUGCCAGUUCACAAUCUCAGUGUUUCGGUCCAAGGAUUGUUGCUUUGCUUAGCCUGAUUGAUUUGCAAUUUUCAGCUUUGUUCAUCAAUAAAAGGUCCACUUCUCAAUUUCAAUUCUCAUUUCAUUGUGUUAUAAUAGCUUGGUGUGCGUGUUGGUUGAUUUGUGAUUCUAUGUUGUUUGAGUAUCAUGUUUUAGUUGUCAUUUAAAUUAUUUUGAUUAGUUUUUAUUUCGAUUGUAAUGUAUGUAGUCUUGGUUCUUGAAUAAAUGCUUUUAAUCGGGCCAAUGAAAAAUCGGAGUUAUUUCUUUCUUGGCAAGGAAUAAGAAUGGGUCAUAAGGUGGGUUUUGGACCACAAGGAAUUUGGCCAAGUAAUAAAUCAUGUUGGCUAGAUUAUUUCCCCCAAUAAUAUUUUGUUCAAAAAUUUGGCCUUACAACAAUCUCGAAGAUUAAGAGUACACGGAGUUUGCAUGUGUGGCCAUUGGUUGAGCGUGUGUUCUGCUAAUGUAUUGUGUCCAAGCUGGACCAUUUUUGCAAUGAAUAAUUGAAUUAAAAGAACAUUGGAUCAAGAGAGCAAGAAAGUGACAAAAAUUGAAAGUGAUAGUAGCGUGUUAUAUUGCUUCUGGCAUUAGCUUGGUUGCUGCACCCCUUUAUUUUCUUUAUUUUGCAAUGAAGGCGACUUAAUAAAUUAUCGUGGUUGUGUACACGUUCGCGUGGCAUAGUUACGAUUCCAGAAAUUAAAACCAAGGUAUGCGUUCGCGCAACUUUGGGUGAAGCAAUCUUAUUAAUAAUAAGGCGUGAUUAAUUGUGGAUACGUACGCGUGACACGAUUUUUGACGCGCCAAAUGAAAUGAGUACACGUACGCGUGACUCGUUUUUUAAAGAUAAUUCCAUAAUUAAUAGUAAUUGAGAAAAUAAAAGCGGUUAAGGGGGUAGAUGCACAUAGGUUUGAAAAUAAGUAAUUAGACAAUUUAGUAAGCCAAGUAUAAUCAAAGCGACCGUGCUAGAACCACGGAACUCGGGAGUGCCUAACACCUUUUCCCGGGUUAACAUAAUUUCUUACCCGAAUUUCUGUGUUCGCGGACCGAUAAUAGAGUCAAACUUCCUCGAUUCGGGAUUUUAAACCGGUGACUUGAGAGACCAUAAAUUAUCCCAAGUGGCGACUCUAAUCUUCAAAAUAAUUAAUCCCGUUUCGGUUAUUGUCACUUUAAUUUGAAAAAACUCCCUUAUAUCUCUUCCGUGGUAUAGGUAAAAAGGAGGUGUGACAACCACAUGCUAGAGAAAAACAAAAAAUAUUCUUUUAAGUAGGGACCACACACAUUCUUAUCUGGAUGGCUUUUUCUUGGCCAACACUGCUGCAUAUAUACACAUACACGCUGAUAUAUAGAGAGGAAGGGGGAAGAGGGGGCUGGAGAGGAAAAACGAAAGAGAGGGGACAGAUCUGGGGAACGAAAGGGCUGGGGAUCGCACAAAAACACAGAGCUAUCUUCUUCCUUUCCCAAGCACAAAAACACAAAGUUUCAACACCAUGUAAAUUCUCCAUAGCCUAUUACAUCCAUCUAUGAAAGAAGCUCCAUUGCUUCACCAUUAAACCAUCACAAAUAAGCCCCAAAAUCACCACAAAAACACCUCGUGUAAACCACUUGAAGCCAUCUUAAAUUCAAGUGAAACCUCGUUCUACAGUUCCGGCGGAAACAGAGGUGAGUGAACGACCAACUGCUGGUCAUUUUCGAGUCGAGCUGACGAGCUUUCCGUUAGCAGAUCCGAGGUGCCGAUUCGAGGUAUGUUGUUUUCUUCUUUAUCGUUUUGCUUGGAAGAUCAUGCUUGGUUAAAUUUUUGUAAUCUGUUAUGGGUGCUAAAUAUUUUGUCGUAGAAAUCAUUUUCACUUAGUUGGUCUCAUGUUGGUUACUUCAUUUUCUUGUUAAUCAUGAAAGUUGCAAACAUUAGUUGACUGCCAUUUUGUGGUGGUGAAGAUUUACUUGUGGUGCCUUUUUUGACCGGCACCAUUACAGCAAAAUUCACGUAUUGGCAUAUUCUUGUGGUUGGUGCCAAAAUUCCUGAAAUGUCCUGGUGAGACGUUGUUGAGAAACGUCGCCAAUUAGUUGUUUUUUCCUUUUCAUGGUAGAUACAUAGAAAAACUGUAUGUCACCAUCUGAUCUCGACCUGAGCAGCAAAAUUGAUGGUGAAUUUGAUAGUUGUGCUUUAUGAGAAAAUUUUAAGAUCUUUAAAUUUGAUUUGGUACAUUAAUUAGUGGUUGAUUUCGUGUUUGAUUCUAAAUAAAAUUGGCGAAAUCUAGUUAUUUUUGUCUAUUCACGUUAGAAUAUGUUGAGGCGUGUCGUGCCAAAUAAAAUCUCAAAAUGCGUGACCCUCAUUUAAUUAUUUCUUUUAAUCCUUAAAAAUCGAGGUGUGCCAUUUAGCGAAUUUUCAUGGCCCUCGCAAAUUUAAAAACGCGUAGUUGCUUUAGGCGCGUAAUUUAAAUUAAUUUCCUUAAACCCGGGUGUGCAUUUCAUGUGACCCAAAUCCAAAAUCUCCACAAUGUUAAAUAAAAUGUGUCUCGGACUGCGGGUGCAUUUCAUGUGGUGUGGUCCAAAGACGUGUUUUAGAUGACGUUGAAAUCUUCCUUAAAAAUAAUCAAAAGCGGCUAGUAAGUUAAAAAUGUACCAAAGGCUAAAACUUGUAUUAAAAUCAGAUAACAG
This 2750-nucleotide long non-coding RNA is filed under the name Nicotiana tabacum (common tobacco). RNAcentral describes it as "long non-coding RNA (NTAB_LNC011021)". Lineage: Eukaryota; Viridiplantae; Streptophyta; Magnoliopsida; Solanales; Solanaceae. The record is from RNAcentral.